RNAcentral lists this small RNA (288 nucleotides) under fish gut metagenome. RNAcentral's name for it is "5' ureB small RNA". The record is from RNAcentral.
UUGUUGUGGUGAUAUCAUAUGAACAUGUCCGUCAAUACCUGCAGCAGUAAGGAUUAGAUGUUCUCCCGAAAUUGCAUCGGUUGAGGCACCGGUAACGAGUGCAGGGUCUACAUUUGGCAUAAUAUUUGGAUUACCGGAUUUGCCUAUUCCUGCUAUCUUACCAUCUUUUAUACCUACGUCUGCCUUAACAACGCCUAAUAUAGGAUCCAAUACGGUAACAUUUGUAAUAACGAUAUCGAGCGAACCGUCAUUUGCAGAAGCCAUAUUAUCGAGUCCCAUACCGUCACG